GAGUUUGAUCAUGGCUCAGGACGAACGCUGGCGGCGCGCUUAACACAUGCAAGUCGAGCGAGAACCAGUCCUUCGGGGCUGGGGACAGCGGCGAACGGGUGAGUAAUACGUGAGUAAUCCACCCCCGACACUGGGAUAGCCCGGGGAAACCCGGAUUAAUACCGGAUAGCCACUUCGGUUUUCGGACCGGAAUGAAAAGGUAGCUUCGGCCUCCGGUUGGGGACGAGCUCGCGGCGGAUUAGCUUGUUGGCGGGGUAAAGGCCCACCAAGGCGACGAUCCGUAGCUGGUCUGAGAGGACGAUCAGCCACACUGGGACUGAGACACGGCCCAGACUCCUACGGGAGGCAGCAGUGGGGAAUCUUGUGCAAUGGGCGAAAGCCUGACACAGCGACGCCGCGUGAGGGAAGAAGGCCUUCGGGUUGUAAACCUCUUUCAGGAGGGACGAAGCCACUCGGGUGAAUAGCCCAGAGGGUGACGGUACCUCCAGAAGAAGCCCCGGCUAACUACGUGCCAGCAGCCGCGGUACGCC
This 530-nucleotide ribosomal RNA is filed under the name uncultured bacterium. RNAcentral describes it as "bacterial SSU rRNA". It matches the Rfam family "Bacterial small subunit ribosomal RNA", at positions 9 to 526 of the family's 1533-position model. The record is from RNAcentral.